UACGAAGGGGGCUAGCGUUGCUCGGAAUCACUGGGCGUAAAGCGCACGUAGGCGGAUCUUUAAGUCAGGGGUGAAAUCCUGGAGCUCAACUCCAGAACUGCCUUUGAUACUGGUAGUCUCGAGUCCGGAAGAGGUGAGUGGAAUUCCGAGUGUAGAGGUGAAAUUCGUAGAUAUUCGGAGGAACACCAGUGGCGAAGGCGGCUCACUGGUCCGGUACUGACGCUGAGGUGCGAAAGCGUGGGGAGCAAACAGG
This 253-nucleotide ribosomal RNA is filed under the name uncultured bacterium. RNAcentral's name for it is "partial 16S ribosomal RNA". It matches the Rfam family "Bacterial small subunit ribosomal RNA", at positions 524 to 776 of the family's 1533-position model. The record is from RNAcentral.